UCAAUUUGAAAGAAACAAAAAAAAAAAACAAAAAAGAUCUGACAUUUGAUUUUGCUAUUGCUGCUUUCCUUUCUACAAUUUUCGGAUCGAUUUU
Molecule: non-coding RNA, 94 nt
Filed under: Ctenophora environmental sample
Lineage: Eukaryota; Metazoa; Ctenophora
Source: RNAcentral